This is a long non-coding RNA of Drosophila navojoa, 529 nucleotides long. The record is from RefSeq and is a predicted model, not a curated record. Lineage: Eukaryota; Metazoa; Arthropoda; Insecta; Diptera; Drosophilidae.
CUAUGGUUAGUGGUUUCACUGGCUGCUUUUGCACAGAUUAUUUUAAAUAUUUUGUAUUUCGCGCCCAGCUUACAAUCAACUCUGAUCUACGUUCGUAAAAUCUUUUGCCAACACUGGUCGUUGCGAUCGUUGGUAUCGAUAGACGGGCUUGAAGCUAUCGAGCUCUAGUUCCGUCUCUAGUGAUCCAAGCGCAAGCGUCACUCCCUUGAUAAAAAUGUAAAAAGUAAACACGUCGUUGCUUACUAAUUGUGCGUGUCAAUGUGCAAUCAUACGUGCCACAAACCGCAAACCAUAACAAAGUUGAGUCACGCGGCGGCGACGAGCGAGAGUGCAAGUAACGUACACUUAUAUAUGUAUUUGUGGGCGUGUGUACGUGUGUAUGCUUAUACUUUAUAUUAAACGCAAAGCUAAAGGGAGAUUUAUAACAUUUUGUUUGCUUAGCACGUAGUGAACGAACGAAACGUUGCAACGUAACAAUAAAUAACGUAAACGUUUACGCGACUGCGACGUCACUCAACCGGCAUUUGUG